GUGAAUCAUCAAAUCUUUGAACGCAAAUUGCACUCUCCGGUUUUCCGGGAGAGUAUGCCUGUUUGUGCGUCAGCCUAAAUAAAAACUUCUUAUUAGUGGGCUGUGUUUUUCACUUUAACUUUGGUCGGCAUUUGGGUCAUCUUAAACUGAAAGGUUGUUAAGCGACUUAAAAUUUUCUUUAUGAUUUCGCUAACGUUUCUAAUAUUUUCUUUUACGUUCAUGUUAUCGA
RNAcentral lists this unclassified non-coding RNA (229 nucleotides) under Glomus sp. RNAcentral's name for it is "partial contains 5.8S ribosomal RNA and internal transcribed spacer 2". The stretch from base 1 to 72 matches the Rfam family "5.8S ribosomal RNA", at positions 84 to 154 of the family's 154-position model. The record is from RNAcentral. Lineage: Eukaryota; Fungi; Glomeromycota; Glomeromycetes; Glomerales; Glomeraceae.